CAUUUGACAAAAAAAAUGUUUACGUAUGUGAUAUGUGUACUACUAAGGUCUCCAGUGUUUCCAAGAAGAUCUGGCUUGGUCAAAAACGGGGUCCAAAAUGCUACAAGUAUUAAGGGAAGAAAAACACAGAAACUGGAGCAAGAACUCCAGCAGGGGGCAACAAAGAGGUCUUCAUCCCAGAUCUCAGUCUCUCAGUGGGGAUCAAAGAGGUCGGAGGAGGAGAAACAUCCAACCAACCUGAAGAACCACAGCAAGACAAGCCAGCCAAAGUAAUACUCCUCAACCAAACGUACAACAGGACAAAUUUCCCCUGGGCUACAAUGAUGGAACAUUCCUUGCGAGGCAGGUUGAGGUUUGUGACUCAGAUUUGGAAGACACGAAAGGGUUCAUUUGAGGAGGAGAGGGGAGCCAACUUCUGGAGUGAUGAUAAUCCAUUGUGAAAAUCCAUACUGCACUGACAACUUUACUAAAUGCACCUUAAUUACCAUUUAUUAUGAAUUAUACAGUACAGCU
This 513-nucleotide long non-coding RNA is filed under the name Sinocyclocheilus anshuiensis. Its description in RNAcentral is "lncRNA (ENSSANG00000039692.1)". Lineage: Eukaryota; Metazoa; Chordata; Actinopteri; Cypriniformes; Cyprinidae. The record is from RNAcentral.